This is a small nuclear RNA of Suricata suricatta (meerkat), 106 nucleotides long. The record is from Ensembl. Lineage: Eukaryota; Metazoa; Chordata; Mammalia; Carnivora; Herpestidae.
AUGCUCACUUUAAGAGCACAUAUACUAAAAUUAGAAUGAUACAGAGAAGAUCAGCAUGGCCCCAGCACAAAAUGACAUGCAAAUUAAUGCAGUGUUCCAUAUUUUU